ACAGAGAACAGAACAGGAUGAGG
This 23-nucleotide non-coding RNA is filed under the name Cricetulus griseus (Chinese hamster). Lineage: Eukaryota; Metazoa; Chordata; Mammalia; Rodentia; Cricetidae. The record is from RNAcentral.